GAUGAACGCUGGCGGUAUGCUUAGCACAUGCAAGUCGAACGGUCACUUCGGUGAUAGUGGCGGACGGGUGAGUAACGCGUGAGAAUCUGUCUUCAGGUCGGGGACAACAGUUAGAAAUGACUGCUAAUACCGGAUGUGCCUUUGGGUGAAAGAUUUAUUGCCUGAAAAAGAGCUCGCGUCAGAUUAGCUAGUAGGUGGUGUAAGAGACUACCUAGGCUCCGAUCUGUAGCUGGUCUGAGAGGACGAUCAGCCACACUGGAACUGAGACACGGUCCAGACUCCUACGGGAGGCAGCAGUGGGGAAUUUUCCGCAAUGGGCGAAAGCCUGACGGAGCAAUACCGCGUGAGGGACGAAGGCUUUUGGGUCGUAAACCUCUUUUCUCAAGGAAGAUGAUGACGGUACUUGAGGAAUAAGCAUCGGCUAACUCUGUG
RNAcentral lists this ribosomal RNA (432 nucleotides) under uncultured bacterium. Its description in RNAcentral is "partial 16S ribosomal RNA". It matches the Rfam family "Bacterial small subunit ribosomal RNA", at positions 28 to 507 of the family's 1533-position model. The record is from RNAcentral.